AUGAUAUUUGCAGCACAUGUACUAAAACUAGAAUAAUAGAGAGAAGUUUGGCAUGCACCCUGUGAAUGGAUGACACACCAAUCUGUGAACUAUUCCAUCUUGUU
This is a small nuclear RNA of Chionomys nivalis (European snow vole), 104 nucleotides long. Lineage: Eukaryota; Metazoa; Chordata; Mammalia; Rodentia; Cricetidae. The record is from RefSeq and is a predicted model, not a curated record.